CUGCGAGUGAAGCGGGAAAAGCUCAAAUUUAAAAUCUGGCAGUCUUUUGGCUGUCCGAGUUGUAAUCUAGAGAAGUGCUAUCCGUGCUGGACCAUGUAUAAGUCUCCUGGGAUGGAGCAUCACAGAGGGUGAGAAUCCCGUCUAUGACAUGGACUCCCAGUGCAUUGUGAUGUGCUCUCAAAGAGUCGAGUUGUUUGGGAAUGCAGCUCUAAAUGGGUGGUAAAUUCCAUCUAAAGCUAAAUAUUGGCGAGAGACCGAUAGCGAACAAGUACCGUGAGGGAAAGAUGAAAAGAACUUUGGAAAGAGAGUUAAACAGUACGUGAAAUUGUUGAAAGGGAAACGCUUGAAGUCAGUCACAUUGGCUGGGGAUCAACUCUGCUCUUUUGCUGGGUGUACUUCCUAGUUAAUGGGUCAGCAUCAAUUUUGAUCACUGGAAAAAGGUAGAGGGAAUGUGGCAUCUUAGGAUGUGUUAUAGCCCUCUAUUGUAUACAGUGGUUGGGAUUGAGGAUAUCAGCACGCCGUAAGGCUGGGUCAUUGACCACACUCGUGCUUAGGAUGCUGGCAUAAUGGCUUUAAUCGACCCGUCUUGAAACACGGACCAAGGAGUCUAACAUGCCUGCGAGUGUUUGGGUGGAAAACCCAAGCGCGUAAUGAAAGUGAAAGUUGAGAUCCCUGUCAUGGGGAGCAUCGACGCCCGGACCAGAACUUUUGGGACGGAUCUGCGGUAGAGCAUGUAUGUUGGGACCCGAAAGAUGGUGAACUAUGCCUGAAUAGGGCGAAGCCAGAGGAAACUCUGGUGGAGGCUCGUAGCGAUUCUGACGUGCAAAUCGAUCGUCGAAUUUGGGUAUA
Molecule: ribosomal RNA, 849 nt
Filed under: Amanita manicata
Lineage: Eukaryota; Fungi; Basidiomycota; Agaricomycetes; Agaricales; Amanitaceae
Description: partial large subunit ribosomal RNA
Rfam family: Eukaryotic large subunit ribosomal RNA
Source: RNAcentral